Molecule: RNA transcript, 1663 nt
Organism: Nomascus leucogenys (northern white-cheeked gibbon)
Lineage: Eukaryota; Metazoa; Chordata; Mammalia; Primates; Hylobatidae
Gene name: glyceraldehyde-3-phosphate dehydrogenase pseudogene
Exons: 1
Source: RefSeq, a predicted model, not a curated record
AAUGUUUUCAAAAGACAUAUAUGAUAAAGGCUGUUAUCCAAAAUACACAAAGAACUCUUAAAACUCAACAAAAAGAGAGGUGGGUAUGGGCACUGGCUGGGGUCGCUCAGUGCUCACCAUCCUCUUCUCAAAGCCAUGUCUCUAAGACAUGGUGAAGGUGAAGGCCAGAGUAAAUAGAUUUGGCCAUAUUGGGCACCUGGUCACCAGAGCUGCUUUUGACUCUAAUAAAGUGGAUAUUGUUGCCAUCAAUGACCCUUCAUUGACCUCAACUACAUGGUCUACAUGUUCCAGUAUUUCUACCCAUGGCAAAUUCCACCACACCGUCAAGGCUGAGAAUGGGAAGCUUGUCAUCAUUGGAAAUCCCAUCACCAUCUUCCAGGAGCAAGAUCCCACCAAAAUCAAAUGGGGUGAUGCUGAAGCUGAGUAUGCCAUGGAGUCCACUGGCAUCUUCAUGACCAUGGAGAAGGCUGGAGCUCACUUAAUGGGGGGAGCCAAAAGGGUCAUCAUCUCUACCCCCUCUGCUGAUGCCCCCAUAUUCAUAAUGGGCAUGAUCCAUGAGAAGUAUGAAAACAGCCUCAAGAUCAUCAGCAAUGCCUCCUGUACCUCCAACUGCUUAAUCCCCCUGGCCAAGCACAUCCAUGACAACUUUGGCAUUGUGGAAGGACUUGUGACCACAAUCCAUGCUGUCACUGCUACCCAGAAGACUGUGGAUGGCCUCUGUGGGAAACUGGCAUGAUGUCUGUGGGGCUCUCCAGAACAUCAUCCCUGCAUCUACUGGUGUUGCCAAGGCUGUGGGCAAGGCCAUCCCCGAGCUGAACCGGAAGUUCACUGGCAUGGCCUUCCAUGUCCCUUCUGCAAAUGUGUUGGUUGUGGACCUGACCUGCCAUCUGGAGAAACCUGCCAAAUAUGAUGACAUCAAAAAGGUGGGAAGCAGGUGUCAGAGGGCCCCUCAAGGGCAUCUGGGGCUACACUGAACACCAGGUUGUUUCCUCUGACUUUAACAGUGACACUCACUCUUCCACUUUUGAUGCUGGGGCUGGCAUUGCCCUCAGUGACCACUUUGUCAAGCUCAUUUCCUUGUAUAACAGUGAAUUUGGCUACAGCAACAGGGUGGUGGCGCAUAUGGCCUCCAAGGAGUAAGACUGCUCAACAACCAGCCCCAGUGAGAGCACAAGAGGAAGAAAGAGACCUUCAGCUUCUGGGCAGUCCCUGCCAUGCUCAGUUCCCCACCACACUGGGAAUCUCACCUCCUCUCAUAAUUUCCAUGCAGACCCCACAAAGAGCACUACCUGGUCGUGGACCAUCAAUAAAGUCCCCUGUACUAAAAAAAAAAAAAAAAAAAAAAGAAAAUGAACAACCUGAUUUUAAAAAUGAGCCAAAAAUCUUAAUGGACACCUCAUCACAGAGGAUAUACAGAUGGCAAAUAAACAUAUGAAAAAAAUGCUCCAUGUCAUAUGUCAUCAGGGAAAUGCAAAUUAAAACAAUGAGAUCUCACUACACACUUACUAAAAUGGCUAAAAUUUAGAACGCUGAUAACCAAAUGCUGGUGACAAUGUGGAUUAACAGGAACUCUUAUUCAUUGCUAGUGGGAAUGCCAAAUGGUACAGCGACUUUGGGAGACAAUUUGGUGGUUUCUUAAAAAAACUAAACAUACUCUUACCAU